UUGUAUAUUUCCCCUGGCAUUAAGAGGUUGAAAUAGCUAUUAGGAAGAAAAAUGAUAUUUUCCACUUUUCUCGACAUUUUCAGGGACGUGGAAAUGAGGAUGAAUCCUGGCAGUGUUGUGGAAUGACAUGACGGUGGUGAUUUGUGUGGCUACACUAGGGUGGAGGGACACCUUUGUGUGUUUACUGCCAAGGACAGAAGAGUGAAAUACAUGGUAUGAAUCAGACAGAAGGAUCUUCAGAUUGGGGCAGCACAGAAAUCAGAGGACUCCACCCUCGGAGACAGCUGUCAAGAUGAGCAGUGGCAUUUGUACCAGCCAUGGAAGGGGGGGAUGAUCUUGCAUCUAUACCUAGACAAGGCCUGACCAGCCUGACCAACAGCAUGCAAAGGAUCCCUGCCAGGCAGGUGACACAGAAAUGGGGGACAGUGCACGGACCCUCAGCCCUCCCUCAGGUACCAGCAUGGACUGACACCACCUCAACAGUCUCCAAGUUCCAAAAAAUUGUAUUCAUCCCUCGAUAAACCAUAAAUAGGAUGGUUUAUUAUUCAAGAGCACUGAGUCUGUGAAAAUCCCUGUCUGAGGCUGUGAAGAUAUGAGUGCGGAGACCAACAUGUGCCCCGUGAACUUGCCAUUCAACGAUGGAAAGCAAAUGGACAUGUGCUCUGAGCAAGGAAAAUGUCUUAUAAUUGUGGUUAUACUGCAGAUGUGAUGUGACAUAAUCUGCAGUCACAAGUGAGUCACGGUGGCACACAGCUGGUAAGAGAGUGUGCAGAGGAGCAAAGGCGGGAGACUCUCUGACUUCUGCUUCAGGGUGUCCCCCCAGCCCAGAGCUGUCCACUGCUGCCACACAAUAAAGUAGGAGUGGAUCUCAAGAACAAAAAUCAGCUUUUCCAAGGACAACAGGUCUUUCCAUCCUCAUCUCCCUGAGCCAUGAAAGCCACUGGGUAAAGCCAACCAAAAUGGACAAUUGCACAAAAUCAGAGAGGAGAGGAGAGUGAGAGUCCCAGCAAGUAGGGAUGGCCAACAGAGGGACGGAUCGCGAAAGGAGCUUAAAGCUGGAGUACGAAGGAACAUCACAUAGGGGGGCUGUCUGGCUCUGGAGUGCUGAAUCUCAAAUAAAAUGAGGAAGACACCAAGACACGGAUGAUUAUAGCCCAGGACAGAGGUUCCAAGCAUGUACAGGAGGAGCUGAUAACCACACAGGAGGGAACCCAAGAGAAAUGUGACCAGCAGUUAAAUCCUGGGGCCAGAGAAAUGUGACUUCUGUGCUGUCUGGACCAUUUGGAGGGCAAAGUGCAGAAGCAGAUACUGUCGAGUGGGUAAGCUGCUUCAUCUUUGG
Long non-coding RNA from Canis lupus familiaris (dog), 1339 nucleotides. RefSeq lists it as uncharacterized. The transcript is spliced from 7 exons. The record is from RefSeq and is a predicted model, not a curated record. NCBI's taxonomy places the organism in Eukaryota, Metazoa, Chordata, Mammalia, Carnivora, Canidae.